RNAcentral lists this ribosomal RNA (491 nucleotides) under uncultured bacterium. Its description in RNAcentral is "partial 16S ribosomal RNA". It matches the Rfam family "Bacterial small subunit ribosomal RNA", at positions 29 to 507 of the family's 1533-position model. The record is from RNAcentral.
AUGAACGCUAGCUACAGGCUUAACACAUGCAAGUCGAGGGGAAACGGCAUCGAAAGCUUGCUUUUGAUGGGCGUCGACCGGCGCACGGGUGAGUAACGCGUAUCCAACCUGCCCAUCACUUGGGAAUAACCUUGCGAAAGUAAGACUAAUGCCCAAUGACAUCCCACGAAGGCAUCCGAAUGGGAUUAAAGAUUUAUCGGUGAUGGAUGGGGAUGCGUCUGAUUAGCUUGUUGGCGGGGUGACGGCCCACCAAGGCAACGAUCAGUAGGGGUUCUGAGAGGAAGGUCCCCCACAUUGGAACUGAGACACGGUCCAAACUCCUACGGGAGGCAGCAGUGAGGAAUAUUGGUCAAUGGGUGAGAGCCUGAACCAGCCAAGUAGCGUGCAGGAUGACGGCCCUAUGGGUUGUAAACUGCUUUUAUAAGGGAAUAAAGUGGGUCACGUGUGACUUUUUGCAUGUACCUUAUGAAUAAGGACCGGCUAAUUCCGUG